CCCUUAGAUGUCCGGGGCCGCACGCGCGCUACACUGAAGGAAUCAGCGUGGCUUUCUCCCUGACCCGAAAGGGUUGGGAAACCCGUUGAAUCUCCUUCGUGAUAGGGAUUGGGGCUUGAAAUUGUUCCCCAUGAACGAGGAAUUCCCAGUAAGCGCGAGUCAUAAGCUCGCGUUGAUUACGUCCCUGACCUUUGUACACACCGCCCGUCGCUACUACCGAUUGAACGGUUUAGUGAGGGCCUCGGAUUGGUCUCGGCCCGCUCUUUACCGGGCGGCGCCGUUGGUCGAGAAGACGCUCGAACUUGAUCGUUUAGAGGAAGUAAAAGUCGUAACA
This 334-nucleotide ribosomal RNA is filed under the name uncultured eukaryote. RNAcentral describes it as "partial 18S ribosomal RNA". It matches the Rfam family "Eukaryotic small subunit ribosomal RNA", at positions 1470 to 1796 of the family's 1831-position model. The record is from RNAcentral.